GUGCCAGCAGCCGCGGUAAUACGAGAGGCCCAAACGUUAUUCGGAAUUACUGGGCUUAAAGAGUUCGUAGGCGGCAUGAAAAGUAGGGUGUGAAAGCCCUCGGCUCAACCGAGGAAUUGCGCUCUAAACUGUCGUGCUAGAGGAACCUAGAGGUGAGCAGAACUGAUGGUGGAGCGGUGAAAUGCGUUGAUAUCAUCAGGAAUACCGGAGGCGAAGGCGGCUCACUGGGGGUUUUCUGACGCUGAGGAACGAAAGCCAGGGGAGCGAACGGGAUUAGAUACCCCGGUAGUCC
Molecule: ribosomal RNA, 292 nt
Filed under: uncultured bacterium
Lineage: Bacteria
Description: partial 16S ribosomal RNA
Rfam family: Bacterial small subunit ribosomal RNA
Source: RNAcentral